UACGUAGGUGGCAAGCGUUAUCCGGAUUCACUGGGUGUAAAGGGAGCGUAGACGGCCAUGCAAGCCUGGAGUGAAAGCCCGGGGCCCAACCCCGGGACUGCUCUGGGAACUGUGUGGCUGGAGUGCGGGAGGGGCAGGCGGAAUUCCUGGUGUAGCGGUGAAAUGCGUAGAUAUCAGGAGGAACACCAGUGGCGAAGGCGGCCUGCUGGGCUUUAACUGACGCUGAGGCUCGAAAGCGUGGGGAGCAAACAGG
RNAcentral lists this ribosomal RNA (253 nucleotides) under uncultured bacterium. Its description in RNAcentral is "partial 16S ribosomal RNA". It matches the Rfam family "Bacterial small subunit ribosomal RNA", at positions 524 to 776 of the family's 1533-position model. The record is from RNAcentral.